UACGUAGGGCGCAAGCGUUGUCCGGAAUUAUUGGGCGUAAAGAGCUCGUAGGCGGCCUGUUGCGUCCGCUGUGAAAGCCCGGGGCUUAACCCCGGGUCUGCAGUGGAUACGGGCAGGCUAGAGGUAGGUAGGGGAGAAUGGAAUUCCCGGUGUAGCGGUGAAAUGCGCAGAUAUCGGGAGGAACACCGGUGGCGAAGGCGGUUCUCUGGGCCUUACCUGACGCUGAGGAGCGAAAGCGUGGGGAGCGAACAGG
This 253-nucleotide ribosomal RNA is filed under the name uncultured bacterium. RNAcentral describes it as "partial 16S ribosomal RNA". It matches the Rfam family "Bacterial small subunit ribosomal RNA", at positions 524 to 776 of the family's 1533-position model. The record is from RNAcentral.